This 498-nucleotide ribosomal RNA is filed under the name uncultured microorganism. RNAcentral's name for it is "bacterial SSU rRNA". It matches the Rfam family "Bacterial small subunit ribosomal RNA", at positions 9 to 489 of the family's 1533-position model. The record is from RNAcentral.
GAGUUUGAUCCUGGCUCAGGAUGAACGCUGGCGGCGUGCCUAAUACAUGCAAGUCGAGCGAACAGACGAGGAGCUUGCUCCUCUGACGUUAGCGGCGGACGGGUGAGUAACACGUGGAUAACCUACCUAUAAGACUGGGAUAACUUCGGGAAACCGGAGCUAAUACCGGAUAAUAUAUUGAACCGCAUGGUUCAAUAGUGAAAGACGGUUUUGCUGUCACUUAUAGAUGGAUCCGCGCCGCAUUAGCUAGUUGGUAAGGUAACGGCUUACCAAGGCAACGAUGCGUAGCCGACCUGAGAGGGUGAUCGGCCACACUGGAACUGAGACACGGUCCAGACUCCUACGGGAGGCAGCAGUAGGGAAUCUUCCGCAAUGGGCGAAAGCCUGACGGAGCAACGCCGCGUGAGUGAUGAAGGUCUUCGGAUCGUAAAACUCUGUUAUUAGGGAAGAACAAAUGUGUAAGUAACUAUGCACGUCUUGACGGUACCUAAUCAGAAA